RNA transcript from Bombus terrestris (buff-tailed bumblebee), 2453 nucleotides. RefSeq lists it as uncharacterized. NCBI's taxonomy places the organism in Eukaryota, Metazoa, Arthropoda, Insecta, Hymenoptera, Apidae. The transcript is spliced from 2 exons. The record is from RefSeq and is a predicted model, not a curated record.
AAAUUUUCUAUAAUUUGAUUUUUUUCCACUUGACUCACCUGUAAGCCACCUUAUUAAAUGUGCGACAUUACACAUAUUUUGCUGUUCACUUAAGCGAUGAACGUGAUCAUCAUUUAUUUUUUGUACAAAUAUAUUUUUUACACGCGUGCGUAGUUAGGUACAUACAAUUAUAUUUCAGUAAAGGCAAAGCACAAAAAUAUUUCAUAUAUAUAACUCCAAUGAAAAGUCAUGAUUAAAACCUUAGAAAGAAGAUAGUCGGUGAAUUGACCUACGAUGAUUAUCUGUAUUGUUCACGUAAUGACCAGAACAGGGUCAGGUCGAUCCAUUAUGGCUUCUUUAACGUUGCAUCAGUACAAAAAUCUUACUACACCUAUGAACAAACUUGUUUAAUCUUUAUUUGAUUUAAACAACUUUAUUUUAUUUCAUCUUCUCAAAUAACAUGCUGAAGUAUAAUAUUUAAACGAAGGUAUACGCGAAUCAAACUAAAGGAAAGAUAUAUCCACUCCUUUUCUUCCCUUUUUUAUUUCUUCUUAAGUAUAUGAAAUAUCCGUUGAAUAAUGAUUACCUAUCGUACUACUAUCUUUAUCCGAGAUCGAAGAACAAUGCUACUAAAUGCUAUUAAAAUAAAGGCGCGCCUCUUAUGUAAAACGAGAAUGUCGUAAAAGUCACUUUACUCUCGAAACGAAAACCCUAUCAGCUUUGACUAAAGUUUAUGGGCUCUUGUAUUAGCAGCUUCUAUUCUUGACACUUGUAACUUUCGAAUUAUAUCCAUUGGAAUGAUUACGUUUACGUAAAUAGCAUCCUGUAUGGAACGACAAUGUAUCCUAUUUUGCGUGACCUGUACGUGCAAGUAUUAACUUUGAAGCAAUACAUAAGCUCAGUCUUACGUAAAAUGAUUAUGUAACAUUUUUAAUCAUUUCUUUGUCACUUCUACAGAAGCACUUCAAUUCGAAACCGAUGUAGUACCUAUACCUAUGUCUUAACGAACAUUCUUUUAAUUCGGUAUAUUACUUAUUUUAUACAAUAUGGAUGAAACAGACAGAUUCUUAUUGUUUCUGACAUUAAGCAUUAUUGCUUUUGAAUUUUUUACUUAAAAAAGGCUUAAAAUAAAUAAAAUCAAAAUGUUACUCUAGUCGUAAACAGAAACAAUGAUUCGAUCAAUAUAUAAUAUGUUAAGCACGUAUAUUUAUCGAAAAACAUACGAGAUAGUUUUGUGUGGAUAAAUUUUGGAAAUACAAUGAGACGGUGUCCAUUAUACGGUUUAAGGGCAUUUUCCACGAUGAAUUCCGUAAAAUCGAGCAGCCCUUGGAGUUUGCAGAACGAAGCACAAUGAGUCAAGAUUCUGAGACUUGCGCAGUGAAAACUCGUUGAUACAUAUCAUUAGACGAGUGUGCCUUACCAGCUGUAUCUGUGAGAAACGUUGAUCCAAUAGUCAGGAGACAGAAAUAGUUGUAGAAUAAUGAAAACGUCAAUAUAAACCCUCUACAUAUUGCAUUCUCGAAAAUUUAUCUCCCUCUUGACAAAUUAUCGUGAAGUUUAAACACCUCCCUACCACUGUUCCCGAUACUCGCAGUAUUCGCUCGGGAACGCCCUAUCAGUAAACCAAACUGUCUACUAAAUUGGGGAAUUCGAAAAUCAACAAAAGUGGAUUCGAAUUCAUAUUGAUAACGCGAGGAUUACAAAAACAUUGGUGGUAAAUCGUAGAAAACAUUCAGCCAAACAUAUGUACGUAACCUGUCGAACGCAAAAGCAUUCUGCGUAACAGUCUUCCACAUAAGAUAUAUUUAAGCUACAAAGCUUACAGUAAUAAACUUAUAAAGUUUACUGAGCGUUCAUAAAUAUUAAUGAUCAACGAAGUUAUAAAUACGUAACAUUCGAUGAAAACAAUGUUUUCUUUGAUAUUUCCCUCGAAACUUUACAUCGAAUUACUAUGAUUACAAUUACGAUUUUUGUACGAUGACUUAAUAUUAUAGAAACUAAAAUGUUAUAAUGUUAUAUUGAAAUUUUAUAUCAAAACUGAAACAUAAGACUCAUUUAUAAACUUAAUGAUCUCACAAUCGAAAAUUGAAUAAAACGAAUUUCCUUGAAGCAUCAGCACGUCGAGAAUGCAGUUGCCGCGCAAAAUGAGCGCUCAAAACGUAAUGGCAAGCAUUAGUCGUACAUUGGGAAAUCGCGAACAUAAACCAGCAGGCAAUGAAAUUCGAUUUGCAGGAGACGAAAGGAAAGACAAGCUCUACGAACCAAAACAUAAACAAAAGUUGAUACGCAGACAGAAAAAAUGACGACAAAAUUAACGACCAUGGCGAGUGAACGAAGUAUGUCGGAAAUCAUAACCACUCCACGACAGAAGGAUUUAUUAACUAUCUUGACAGAGAUUGCUGAAUCAUCGACUGCUCCCUCGCUAAUAACACUCGAGGAUUUACAAACUAGUCCAAGUACAGAAACCAAAGAAA